Molecule: ribosomal RNA, 492 nt
Filed under: uncultured bacterium
Lineage: Bacteria
Description: partial 16S ribosomal RNA
Rfam family: Bacterial small subunit ribosomal RNA
Source: RNAcentral
AGUGAACGCUGGCGGUAGGCCUAACACAUGCAAGUCGAACGGCAGCACAGUAAUAGCUUGCUCUUACGGGUGGCGAGUGGCGGACGGUUGAGGAAUACAUCGGUAUCUACUUUUUCGUGGGGGAUAACGUAGGGACACUUACGCUAAUACCGCAUACGACCUACGGGUGAAAUCAUGGGAUCUUCGGACCUUGCGCGAUUCAAUGUGCCGAUGUCGGAUUAGCUAGUUGGCGGGGUAAAGGCCCACCAAGGCGACGAUCCGUAGCUGGUCUGAGAGGAUGAUCAGCCACACUGGAACUGAGACACGGUCCAGACUCCUACGGGAGGCAGCAGUGGGGAAUAUUGGACAAUGGGCGCAAGCCUGAUCCAGCCAUACCGCGUGGGUGAAGAAGGCCUUCGGGUUGUAAAGCACUUUUGUUGGGAAAGAAAAGCAGCAGGUUAAUACCCCGCUGUUCUGACGGUACCAAAAGAAUAAGCACCGGCUAACUUCGUG